Molecule: ribosomal RNA, 407 nt
Filed under: uncultured bacterium
Lineage: Bacteria
Description: partial 16S ribosomal RNA
Rfam family: Bacterial small subunit ribosomal RNA
Source: RNAcentral
AUUGAACGCUGGCGGCAGGCCUAACACAUGCAAGUCGAGCGGAGCGGCGGACGGGUGAGUAAUGCCUAGGAAUCUGCCUGGUAGUGGGGGAUAACGUCCGGAAACGGGCGCUAAUACCGCAUCCUAUCAGAUGAGCCUAGGUCGGAUUAGCUAGUUGGUGGGGUAAAGGCCUACAAAGGCGACGAUCCGUAACUGGGCUGAGCGGAUGAUCAGUCACACUAGAAUUGAGACACGGUCCAGACUCCGACGGGAGGCAGCAGUGGGGAAUAGUGGACAAUGGGCGAAAUCCGGAUCCAUCCAUGCCGCGUGUGGGAAGAAGGUCGUCGGAUUGUAAAGCACGUUAAGUUGGGAGGCGUUACCAACAGAAUAAGCACCGGCUAACUUCGUGCCAGCCGCCGCGGUAAUAC